This 487-nucleotide ribosomal RNA is filed under the name uncultured bacterium. Its description in RNAcentral is "bacterial SSU rRNA". It matches the Rfam family "Bacterial small subunit ribosomal RNA", at positions 501 to 987 of the family's 1533-position model. The record is from RNAcentral.
CUACGUGCCAGCAGCCGCGGUAAUACGUAGGUGGCAAGCGUUGUCCGGAAUUAUUGGGCGUAAAGCGCGCGCAGGCGGAUCGGUCAGUCUGUCUUAAAAGUUCGGGGCUUAACCCCGUGAUGGGAUGGAAACUGCCAAUCUAGAGUAUCGGAGAGGAAAGUGGAAUUCCUAGUGUAGCGGUGAAAUGCGUAGAUAUUAGGAAGAACACCAGUGGCGAAGGCGACUUUCUGGACGAAAACUGACGCUGAGGCGCGAAAGCCAGGGGAGCGAACGGGAUUAGAUACCCCGGUAGUCCUGGCCGUAAACGAUGGGUACUAGGUGUAGGAGGUAUCGACCCCUUCUGUGCCGGAGUUAACGCAAUAAGUACCCCGCCUGGGGAGUACGACCGCAAGGUUGAAACUCAAAGGAAUUGACGGGGGCCCGCACAAGCGGUGGAGUAUGCGGUUUAAUUCGACGCAACGCGAAGAACCUUACCAGGUCUUGACAU